RNAcentral lists this ribosomal RNA (425 nucleotides) under Stenotrophomonas sp. Its description in RNAcentral is "bacterial SSU rRNA". It matches the Rfam family "Bacterial small subunit ribosomal RNA", at positions 434 to 853 of the family's 1533-position model. The record is from RNAcentral. Lineage: Bacteria; Pseudomonadati; Pseudomonadota; Gammaproteobacteria; Lysobacterales; Lysobacteraceae.
UGUUGGGAAAGAAAAGCAGUCGAUUAAUACUCGGUUGUUCUGACGGUACCCAAAGAAUAAGCACCGGCUAACUUCGUGCCAGCAGCCGCGGUAAUACGAAGGGUGCAAGCGUUACUCGGAAUUACUGGGCGUAAAGCGUGCGUAGGUGGUUGUUUAAGUCUGUUGUGAAAGCCCUGGGCUCAACCUGGGAAUUGCAGUGGAUACUGGGCGACUAGAGUGUGGUAGAGGGUAGUGGAAUUCCCGGUGUAGCAGUGAAAUGCGUAGAGAUCGGGAGGAACAUCCAUGGCGAAGGCAGCUACCUGGACCAACACUGACACUGAGGCACGAAAGCGUGGGGAGCAAACAGGAUUAGAUACCCUGGUAGUCCACGCCCUAAACGAUGCGAACUGGAUGUUGGGUGCAAUUUGGCACGCAGUAUCGAAGCU